This is an RNA transcript of Salvia splendens (bonfire salvia), 2229 nucleotides long. RefSeq lists it as uncharacterized. The record is from RefSeq and is a predicted model, not a curated record. Lineage: Eukaryota; Viridiplantae; Streptophyta; Magnoliopsida; Lamiales; Lamiaceae. The transcript is spliced from 12 exons.
AAUGUAUUCACAAACAUUAAUCUUUUUUUAUAUUUAGCCCUAAUUAGUACUCCUAUAGUAUAUUGUUUACUUUAUAAAUUACAGUUUCCGUUAGCUAAUAACACAGAGCCUCCGCCGCCCACAAACUCGUCGCGCCGCCACCAGUCCGCUCACUCCGCCGGCCGCCGUUCAGUGACAAAGCGUAGAAAUCAAAAGUGUAAGCAUCAUGGAUCUUGAUCCGUUGGCUGGUCCUGCCAAGGUGCCAAGGAAGGUGAAAUAUAAGCCAAAAGCUCCUGUCAAGAGAGUAAAGAAAGAAGUCCUUCCUAAAGUUGAGAAAGAAGAAGACGACAUUGAUGAGGCCAAGGCAGAGUAUCUUCUGCGCCGCCUUCAUGAAACAUCUUCAGGUAGGCCGAAGCCUGAAAAGAAAGCUCAACUUGCCCAAGUUGCAUUCGGUGUUGGAGAAGCAUCUACCUUCAAGUCAUAUCAUCCUUCCAAUGGCACAUCCUCUGAUGGGAUUCCCAAAGUGGGGAAAGAAUAUAAAGAACCGUGGAAUUACUACUCGAACUAUCCAGUAACACUUCCCGUUAGAAGGCCUUAUGCAGGAAAUCCAGAAAUUCUUGAUAAAGAAGAAUUUGAUGGAGAUGAAGGGACAGCAGUACCGGAAGAAAAUGCAACAAAUGCAGCUAAAGAACUCGGCCUUUUGGAUAAAAGUCUGGAGAAUAAUAUGUUCUUUCUUCAGCUACCAAAGAUGCUGCCCGGGAUAGCACAGUCAGCUGAUUCGGAAGUCCCGGAACACCAAAACAAUGGAAGCCCCUCAAGGGGUGAAGUCAUAUCUCAAAACCUUACCACUUUGGAUUCACUGCCACAAGGAUUGAUUGGGAAAAUGUUGGUAUAUAAGAGUGGUGCUGUGAAGAUGAGGAUUGGAAAUGCAAUAUACAAUGUAACUGCAGGGAUGAAGUGCAUGUUCUCGCAAGAUAUUGUCGCCAUCAAUGCAGAGAAGAAACUCUGCUGCAACUUGGGAGAGUUGAACAAGCGCGCAGUCGCAACCCUGGACGUUGACAGCAUGCUGCAAGGUAUGACUGAUUUAUGAUGAUUCUUUUGGUCAUCAACUUACGAAAAUUUUGCUUGCAAGUUCCGGAAUCAAUAAUCAUUGAGCACUAUAUUUAAAUGAGAGCAUAAAGUAAAUCACUUGAUGUAACGACCCGCUAAGCCGAUAUUAUUAUAAACUAUAUUAUUGGCUUGAUUAUCUAUAUAAGUAACUUUUAUGCGAUUAAAUCCGAGCUACGUUAGAUUGUCUUUGUUUGUUUGACGAUAGGGAAGUGAAUAAAUAAAUAAAACUCCAAAAUUUAAAAUUUUAAUGUCUGAUACAUCCAACAAAAGUCCAACGAAAAUUUAAUUUAAUACAUCCUUCGUUCUAAAGAAAAUCGGGUACUUCAGCGCGGGCAGCCACGAACUUGAACCGAUCAUACCUACACUAAAUUUAAUGAUUAAGUAAGCAAAUACUCAAAUAAUUAAUAAAAAAAUAAAACUAAAAAUAAAAAUUAUUAUUUAAUAUAUGCUUAUCCAAGAAGGAAUCCUUGUCAUGGCAGCAUUUAAUGCUGCCUUAAUGAGUUGUAGAAAUAAAGAGGGCUGCAUUAAUGAAGUGUGGAAAAAUAUCUCCCAACAAAUCAUCCACCACAUUCUCUGACAGAAGAUGUUGUAUAUAUAUACACAUAUGCAAAUCAUCCCCCACAUCCUACCAACAACGUGUAAUUCCACCACAUCCUACCAACAAAAUCGGAGCAAGGGGAGGAAGAGGAGCGAGGGCGGCAAGAGAUCAAUCCAUAACCGAGAAAGACCACCGAACAAGGUUGAGCAGCGAAGUGGUGGGGGAAGUGCUAUUGAGACAAGACACUUAAUUCAGUCAGAUUUUGACUCUCGGAGGUUCAUGUCUUCAUACAUGGAGCCGCGUUCAUUUGCUUCCGUUGUGCGUCUCAAAAGACUCAGGUCUAUUUUAUUCAAAACUCUGAUUUAUUUCGAGCUAUUCCCAUUUGUUUCGGGCUGUGGUUGAGUUGUGUUGAUUUUCCCCUUUCUUCCCCGCUUCUUUAAUCCUCCCCUAGUCGCGAUGAACCGUGUUUUCUAUCCUUAGAAAAUGCGGUCGUGACACUUGAACAACAUUUUGUUUUGAAAUAUUACCUUUACUUUGUACUGUUACACAAUGACAUUCUCAUUGUGUUUAAGAUAUUGGGAUAUUGUUUUGAUUGAUAGUUA